Molecule: long non-coding RNA, 414 nt
Filed under: Homo sapiens (human)
Lineage: Eukaryota; Metazoa; Chordata; Mammalia; Primates; Hominidae
Description: HSALNT0322280
Source: RNAcentral
AAGAGGAUCCAUGUACAUAUAAAAAAAUGAAAAGUAAAGAUUAAUGUACCUAUGGGCAGAAAACUGGAGAUAUUCUGCUGGGAAUAUUAUAAAAAGCAAAACGUGAGGCAGCACAGUACCCUGGAAUGGACUGGGAAAUAGAAGCGAGAGAUUACUGCAGAAGAUUUUGCCCCUGAGCUCUGAAGGUCUGUGCAAGACAUUGUGGUUUUUCUUGACUCGCUUGUAUGAAGCAUUAAGGUCACUGUCUUCACCUCUCCAUGAAGUAGUUAGAGCCAAUGCAAGAGCUGAUCUGUUGUGUUGAGACCGAAAAGAACACAGGAGACAGAAAAGAACCAGAAACAGACAGGGGAGACACAGGCAGGGAGAACAAACCAAGAGAGAAUUAUAAAUAAUAAGAAAGGCCAAGGGCUGUCG